RNAcentral lists this ribosomal RNA (2298 nucleotides) under Planctomycetes bacterium DG_58. RNAcentral describes it as "bacterial LSU rRNA". It matches the Rfam family "Bacterial large subunit ribosomal RNA", at positions 1112 to 2925 of the family's 2925-position model. Lineage: Bacteria; Pseudomonadati; Planctomycetota. The record is from RNAcentral.
GCAGCCACCAUUUAAAAAGUGCGUAACAGCUUACUGGUCGAGCGUUGUCGCGCCGAAAAUGAUCGGGGCUAAGCGGAUUACCGAAGCUGCGGGUUCUAGAGACUAGAAACUAGAGACUAGAAACCAGAGAAGGAACAGACGAUGCCUUAUCACAGGCUCAACGUCUACAGGAAGGCCUAUCAGCUUGCACUCGACAUUCACAAGCUGACACUUCGUUUUCCGAGAAUCGAGCAGUACGCUCUUGCUCAGCAACUGAGAGCGUGCUCGAAGUCCAUCCCGGUGAACAUCGCUGAAGGCAUGGGCAAGCAAAGCUCACCCAAAGAGGUGGUGCGUUUUGUGCGCAUCGCGCUUGGGUCUUGUGAUGAGACACGGGUUUGGCUGGAUUUCGCACACGACCUCGGAUACAUCGAGGAACAGGCACACACCCAUCUCGACGAGCGAUAUCGCGAGAUAGGUCGUAUGCUCACCGGACUCGUGAAGAAGUGGAAAGACGAAUCCUGAAGAUGUCCGUUGUGCCUCCUCUUUUGUUUCUUCUCUCCAGUCAGUCCCGACGAAGUCGGGACGAUCUAGUUUCUAGUUUCUAGUCUUUAGAACGGUAGGGGAGCGUUGUAUGUUGGGCGAAGGGAGACGGUGACGACUCCUGGACGACAUACAAGAGCUAAUGCCGGUACGAGUAACGAUAAAACCGAAAGCCUAAGGUUUCCUGGGGAAGGGAAAUCCGCCCAGGGUUAGUCGGAUCCUUAGUCGAGGCCGAAAGGCGUAGACGAUGGACAACCGGUUAAUAUUCCGGUACCACCUAAGAAACGUUUGUACGAUGGGGUGACGCGGUCGUAACGACCUACGGACGGUUAGAAAUGUCCGGUCAAGUCGGCGAGGGCGUCCCAGGCAAAUCCGGGACAACAAGCCCUCCAAGACGAUGACGAGCCUUUUCUGGCGAAGUGGUCCAAGCGACCGCCGGGAAAACCCUCUAAGGAGUUUCUUCGGUGUCCGUACUAAAACUGACACAGGUAGGCGGGGUGAGAAUCCCAAGGCCCUCGAGUGAGAGCUCGUUAAGGAACUCGGCAAAUUGACCCCGUAACUUCGGGAUAAGGGGUGCCUCGCUCGACUUCACCGUCGGGUGGGGCCGCAGAGAAAUGGCCCAGGCGACUGUUUACCAAAAACACAGGUCUGCGCAAACUCGUAAGAGGAGGUAUGCAGACUGACGCCUGCCCGGUGCCGGAAGGUUAAGGGGAAGGGUCAUCCCCGACUUGUCGGGGAGAAGCUCAUAACCUAAGCCCCGGUAAACGGCGGCCUUAACUAUGAAGGUCCUAUGGUAGCGAAGUUCCUUGUCGGGUAAGUUCCGACCUGCAUGAAUGGCGUAACGACUUGGGCACUGUCUCGACGAGCUGCUCGGUGAAACUGUAGCUGCGGUGAAGAUGCCGCAUACCCGCGACAAGACGGAAAGACCCCGUGAACCUUUACUAUAGCAUAGUAUUGGGUUUUGCCCUAACAUGCGUAGCAUAGGUGGGAGGCUUCGAAGCCCUGACUCCGGUUGGGGUGGAGCCGACCGUGAAAUACCACUCUUGUUAUGUUGAAAUUCUAACCCGCUUCCGUGAAUCCGGUUCGGGGACAGUGCUAUGUGGGUAGUUUGACUGGGGCGGUUUCCUCCUAAAGCGUAACGGAGGAGUCCAAAGGUUCCCUCAGCACGGUUGGCAAUCGUGCAUCGAGUGUAAGGGCACAAGGGAGCUUGACUGCGAGACGGAUCCGUCGAGCAGAUGCGAAAGCAGGGCCUAGUGAACCUGCGGUUCUGUGUGGAAGGGCCGUAGAUUAUCAGACAAAAGGUACUCCGGGGAUAACAGGCUGAUCUCCUCUGAGCGUCCACAGCGGCGAGGAGGUUUGGCACCUCGAUGUCGGCUCAUCGCAUCCUGGGGCUGAAGGUGGUCCCAAGGGUUUGGCUGUCCGCCAAUUAAAGCGGUACGUGAGCUGGGUUCAGACCGGCGUGAGCCAGGUCGGUCCCUAUCUGUCGUGGGUGUAGGAUACUUGCGGAGAGUUGACCCUAGUACGAGAGGACUGGGUCGGACGGACCUCUGGUGUGCCAGUUGUACUGCUAAGUGCACCGCUGGGUAGCUAUGUCCGGAAAGGAUAAACGCUGAAAGCAUCUAAGCGUGAAGCCCCCUCCUAAAAUAGGUAUCCGUGUCCUGACCUUCGGGUCGGGACGAGAGGCUCCUGGUAGACUACCAGGUUGAUAGGCUGGGUGUGUAAGCACGGUAACGUGUUGAGCUGACCAGUACUAAUCAGCCGAGCGCUUGACCACAUCUC